This 940-nucleotide ribosomal RNA is filed under the name uncultured bacterium. RNAcentral's name for it is "bacterial SSU rRNA". It matches the Rfam family "Bacterial small subunit ribosomal RNA", at positions 8 to 965 of the family's 1533-position model. The record is from RNAcentral.
AGAGUUUGAUCAUGGCUCAGAAUCAACGCUGGCGGCGUGCCUAACACAUGCAAGUCGAGCGAGAAAAGGGGGGCAACUCCCUGAGUAAAGCGGCGCACGGGUGAGUAACACGUGGGUAAUCUGCCCUGGAGUGGGGAAUAACACCGGGAAACCGGUGCUAAUACCGCAUACGAUAACGAGGUCUGCGGAUUUUGUUAUGAAAGGAGCAAUUCGCUCUAGGAGGAGCCCGCGGCUGAUUAGCUAGUUGGUGAGGUAAUGGCUCACCAAGGCUACGAUCAGUAUCCGGUCUGAGAGGACGGUCGGACACACUGGAACUGAGACACGGUCCAGACUCCUACGGGAGGCAGCAGUGGGGAAUUUUUGGCAAUGGGGGCAACCCUGACCAAGCAACGCCGCGUGGGUGAUGAAGUCUCUUGGGACGUAAAACCCUUUCGACGGGGAAGAAACCGCAAGGUUGACGGUACCCGUAGAAGAAGCCCCGGCUAACUCCGUGCCAGCAGCCGCGGUAAUACGGGGGGGGCAAGCGUUGUUCGGAAUUACUGGGCGUAAAGGGCGCGUAGGCGGUGCUCUAAGUCGGAUGUGAAAACUCUGGGCUCAACCCAGAGCCUGCAUCCGAAACUGGAGUGCUAGAGUUCUGGAGGGGGUAGCGGAAUUCCUGGUGUAGCGGUGAAAUGCGUAGAUAUCAGAGGAACACCGGUGGCGAAAGCGGCUACCUGGACAGAAACUGACGCUGAGGCGCGAAAGCUAGGGGAGCAAACAGGAUUAGAUACCCUGGUAGUCCUAGCCCUAAACGAUGGAUACUUGGUGUGACGGGGAUUGAAUCCCGUCGUGCCGAAGCUACGCAUUAAGUAUCCCGCCUGGGGAGUACGUCGCAGCUGAAACUCAAAGAUGACGGGGGCCGCACAGCGGUGGAGUAUGUGGUUUAUUCGACGCACGCGAG